CAAACAACUUUGUGAUAUUUAUAUUCCAUUGCACAGGUAGAGAUUAUACAAAUUAGUAAUACAAGUUAUUUCCUUAAAUUCCAAACAGUUUCUAAAAUAUCAUUACACCAGAUGCCUAGAAUAUUAAAACAUCGAGGUGGAAAUCAUACUCUAAGUAGUUAAAUAUGACACUGAAAAUAUUACACAUUUUAAUUAGAGGAGAAAAUUAAAAUGUGUGCUAAAAUGCUCUAACAAACUAAGUAGCAGGGCAACAGCUACAAGUAAGUCCCCGUGGUCCAUUUUUACGUAUGCAUAUAUGUGAUUAUUAGAGAACCUCUCUUCUUGAAAAUGCAUAAUUAAAACAAAAAAAUCUGGAUACAUGGAUUAAUGAAAUUUAAACAUUUCCUAAUACCUAAGCUCUAUGAUGAAGUGUACUAUUACCUAUGACUUCAUAUAACUAAUUCAAGAGAAAAGACACCACACUUGG
This 466-nucleotide long non-coding RNA is filed under the name Bos taurus (domestic cattle). Its description in RNAcentral is "long non-coding RNA NONBTAT004226". Lineage: Eukaryota; Metazoa; Chordata; Mammalia; Artiodactyla; Bovidae. The record is from RNAcentral.